CCCUUAGAUGUUCUGGGCCGCACGCGCGCUACACUGACGCAUUCAACGAGCUUAUAACCUUGGCCGAGAGGCCUGGGCAAUCUUGUUAACGUGCAUCGUGAUAGGGAUAGAUUAUUGAAAUUAUUAAUCUUGAACGAGGAAUUCCUAGUAAACGCAGAUCAUCAAUCUGCAUUGAUUACGUCCCUGCCCUUUGUACACACCGCCCGUCGCACCUACCGAUUGGAUGGUCCGGUGAAGCCUCGGGAUUGUGGUUCUUGCCGCUUUAUUGUGGCGUGACCGCGAGAACUUGUCUAAACCUUAUCAUCUAGAGGAAGGUGAAGUCGUAACA
This 328-nucleotide ribosomal RNA is filed under the name uncultured eukaryote. RNAcentral describes it as "partial 18S ribosomal RNA". It matches the Rfam family "Eukaryotic small subunit ribosomal RNA", at positions 1470 to 1796 of the family's 1831-position model. The record is from RNAcentral.